This 496-nucleotide ribosomal RNA is filed under the name uncultured bacterium. Its description in RNAcentral is "partial 16S ribosomal RNA". It matches the Rfam family "Bacterial small subunit ribosomal RNA", at positions 29 to 507 of the family's 1533-position model. The record is from RNAcentral.
ACGCACGCUGGCGGCGUGCCUAAUACCUGCCAGCAGCACGCUGAAGAGAGGAGCUUGCUCUUCUUGGAUGAGUUGCGAACGGGUGAGUAACGCGUAGGUAACCUGCCUUGUAGCGGGGGAUAACUAUUGGAAACGAUAGCUAAUACCGCUUAACAAUGGAUGACACAUGUCAUUUAUUUGAAAGGGGCAAUUGCUCCACUACAAGAUGGACCUGCGUUGUAUUAGCUAGUAGGUGAGGUAAUGGCUCACCUAGGCGACGAUACAUAGCCGACCUGAGAGGGUGAUCGGCCACACUGGGACUGAGACACGGCCCAGACUCCUACGGGAGGCAGCAGUAGGGAAUCUUCGGCAAUGGGGGCAACCCUGACCGAGCAACGCCGCGUGAGUGAAGAAGGGUGUCGGAUCGUAAAGCUCUGUUGUAAGUCAAGAACGGGUGUGAGAGUGGAAAGUUCACACUGUGACGGUAGCUUACCAGAAAGGGACGGCUAACUACGUG